This 447-nucleotide ribosomal RNA is filed under the name uncultured bacterium. RNAcentral describes it as "bacterial SSU rRNA". It matches the Rfam family "Bacterial small subunit ribosomal RNA", at positions 355 to 825 of the family's 1533-position model. The record is from RNAcentral.
UCGGGAAUUUUGGGCAAUGGGCGAAAGCCUGACCCAGCAACGCCGCGUGAAGGAUGAAGUAUUUCGGUAUGCAAACUUCGAAAGAAUAGGAAGAAUAAAUGACGGUACUAUUUAUAAGGUCCGGCUAACUACGUGCCAGCAGCCGCGGUAAUACGUAGGGACCAAGCGUUGUUCGGAUUUACUGGGCGUAAAGGGCGCGUAGGCGGCAAUUCAAGUCAUCUGUGAAAUCUCCGGGCUUAACUCGGAACGGUCAGAUGAUACUGCUUUGCUAGAGUGCAGAAGGGGCAAUCGGAAUUCUUGGUGUAGCGGUGAAAUGCGUAGAUAUCAAGAGGAACACCUGAGGUGAAGACGGGUUGCUGGGCUGACACUGACGCUGAGGCGCGAAAGCCAGGGGAGCAAACGGGAUUAGAUACCCAUGUAGUCCCUGAGCGGGCUGGCAAGGCGCAU